This 642-nucleotide long non-coding RNA is filed under the name Arabidopsis lyrata. Its description in RNAcentral is "long non-coding RNA (ALYR_LNC001747)". Lineage: Eukaryota; Viridiplantae; Streptophyta; Magnoliopsida; Brassicales; Brassicaceae. The record is from RNAcentral.
GAAUUUUAAAGAAGACUUCUCAUUAAUAAUAUAUGAUUAUUAAAAACGAAUAAUGUUGACAAAAAUAACAUGAAUAGCAAAUAAACAAAAGAGAAAACGAGAAGAAAAUUUGUAGUAUUGUUCACACAAACUUUCAAAGUUACUAAAAAAACUAAUGUAAACGUAAUUGAGGUUAGUGAAGUCACAUGAAUAUUCAAAUUUGUGGUAUAUAUAUGCUCUUCAAAUUUCUUCAAUCUUUAAAGGAGGUGCUGGGUUAAUUAGGGUGCGAUACAGUCCCUCCAACAAUCGGGGCCGGUUUUUGCUAUCCUGUUCGGAUUAUUUGUGCAUACGAAAUAAUCUGACAUUGGUUUGCAUGGUGGUUUCCCUGUCCUCUGUCCUGUAACGGGAUUUGUUAAUGGCUUGUCAUCUUUAAAAACUUUAUCUAGAAAACCUGAAAAAAAAAAUAAACAAUAAAAUAUUUAAAAAGACUAUAUAUGGAAGAAAUGAUUAUGAUUAUAAUCGUAAUUAUAAACAAAACCUAAACUAUAUAUGACAUACAAUCAUGAAGACUAGCGAGUGAAACGAGGAUGAUACAAAAGAUAACAAGUUUGGAUGACGGCAUUGUGCUUUUUCUUUCCAAAGUAACCUUUUUGUUAUUUGAUG